RNAcentral lists this ribosomal RNA (254 nucleotides) under uncultured bacterium. RNAcentral's name for it is "partial 16S ribosomal RNA". It matches the Rfam family "Bacterial small subunit ribosomal RNA", at positions 524 to 776 of the family's 1533-position model. The record is from RNAcentral.
UACGAAGGGAGCUAGCGUUGUUCGGAAUUACUGGGCGUAAAGAGCGCGUAGGCGGUUUAACAAGUCAGGCGUGAAAGCCCUGGGCUCAACCCGGGAAUUGCGCUUGAGACUGUUUUUCUUAGAGUACGAGAGAGGUAAGUGGAAUUCCCAGUGUAGCAGUGAAAUGCGUAGAUAUUGGGAGGAACACCAGUGGCGAAGGCGGCUUACUGGCUCGUGACUGACGCUAAGGCGCGAAAGCGUGGGGAGCAAACAGG